Molecule: ribosomal RNA, 108 nt
Filed under: Flavobacteriaceae bacterium
Lineage: Bacteria; Pseudomonadati; Bacteroidota; Flavobacteriia; Flavobacteriales; Flavobacteriaceae
Source: RNAcentral
UGGUGGCCAUGGCGAUAGGGUCCACCUCUUCCCAUCCCGAACAGAGAAGUUAAGCCUAUCAGCGCCGAUGGUACUGCCCCAAAAGGUGGGAGAGUAGGUCGCCGCCAU